UAACGGCCGCGGUACCCUAACCGUGCGAAGGUAGCAUAAUCACUUGUUCUUUAAAUAAGGACUAGUAUCAACGGCAUCACGAGGGUUACACUGUCUCCUUUCUCCAAUCAGUGAAACUGAUCUCUCCGUGAAGAAGCGAAGAUAUAACUAUUAGACGAGAAGACCCCAUGGAGCUUUAAGCUCAACAACAACUUUCAUGAAAGUAAUCCCUCAUAAUAUACAAACCCUGUUUGUUAGCUUUAGGUUGGGGUGACCGCGGAGUAUAACUUAACCUCCACAACGAAAAGGCAUAAAACCCUUAUCCAAGAGCCACUGCUCUAAGAAUCACCAAAUUGACGUAUAAUGAUCCGAUUUUCGAUCUACGGACCAAGUUACCCUGGGGAUAACAGCGCAAUCCAUUUUUAGAGCUCCUAUCGACAAA
RNAcentral lists this ribosomal RNA (421 nucleotides) under Amietia nutti. RNAcentral describes it as "partial 16S ribosomal RNA". It matches the Rfam family "Bacterial large subunit ribosomal RNA", at positions 1925 to 2512 of the family's 2925-position model. The record is from RNAcentral. Lineage: Eukaryota; Metazoa; Chordata; Amphibia; Anura; Pyxicephalidae.